GCCGCUGGCAGGGAAUGAUCCAAUUGUAUCAGUGUGUUAGUAGUAGCAUGGUGUGAAGUCGAACUGUCGAAGACUUAGUUUGGCUGGUUACUGGUUAGGGCUUAGUCUGGGCUUAGGAAUUUACUCAUGGAGUCAAAUCAUUUCAGGCCUAGGUGGCCUCGGUAUAAACAAGAAAGAUAGUAUGUGAUAUCUCUUAUCUGGGCUAUUUCUGGCUUAUAAAAACAUUAAUUUUCAGCCUUAUUUUACAAGUCUUUGUAUCAAUAUAUUUUUAAUAGAGAAGUAUAUUUUUCCUCCUCAACUCCUGACGAACUCUAGGUUUAGUCCAAGGGCCUGUUCGCCUCCCAACUCUCCCAACUCCAAAGAUUCAGCUUCUGAACCUAUCUUUAAAAAAAUCAGCUUCUACGAGUAGGGUGUUUCGGUGCCCAGGCUCAUCUGCACCCUGUUAGAAAAAAACAUAAAAAAUUCAAAACAAAUUCAAAAAAAUUCAAUUUUUUUUGUGUGGUAGAAAAUUUGAUGCGUGAGACCCGCUCAAAUUUCAUGUCAUUUGGACAUCUGAGAAGCUCUCAAAAAACAUUUUUACAGACCCCAAUUUGUCUUUUUUGCUGAGAGCUGCUCAGAUGUCCAAAUGACUUGAAAUCUGUAACGGGUCUCACGCAUCAAAUUGUCUACCACACAAAAAAAUUGGAUUUGUUUGAAUUUUUCUAAUAUUUGUUUUGAUUUUUUUCGUCAACACGGAUGCAGAUGAGCUCGGGUGCAGAGAUGGAUUUUCGGCUUCUCCAUCGCUACUUGGCCUGCAUCUAGCGACAUAGCCCAAGAAGGAAGGGAGAGACGUGAUUCUCUUCGUUCAUGAAGAAAGAAGAGAGGAGAGAGACUAAACGAACCGUUGCAAAUCUUGUAAUUUUAGCAAACUCCAUGUUUUGAGGAUUCCAUGAAGCUGCUCAUUCCUCGGAGUUCGUGAAGCGUGGAGCGUGAAUGACUUUUGAACAGGCUCUAAACUUCAAAACCGAACAACUUGCGCCUUCAACUCUUGAAACCGGACAAGUUUAAUCCCUUGUCUCGGCUGACCCGGUAUCGCUGACUGACUCAACACAGUUUUGACCGGUCUUCGUCCACGUGGCGGGGUUUCGACGGGAGCUUCCGUGGCUCAUGCACAUACGCCAUGUGCAGCUCAACAUCAACAUCCCUGUCGCGCUCUCCUUCAUGUCAGUCGCACUUUGCCACGGGAGCAUCAUAGCUCGGCGUUGUCUCAGUUAUUGUGCUCCUCAUCGACGGAGCGGUCGCUGUUGCAACCAGGGGAUGUGGCAUCCACACGCACACUGGCCACCAGCCACACCACAGGCACCAUCAUCUCCUUGGUGGCGCUCGUCGCGACCCCGCCCAACAUGCCUGUGGUGUUGCCUUGUCCCAUUGCAGCUGUGCACCAGAUGGAGAUGCCCGGCAUCCUCUUGAGCUUCUCCUCGUGCUCCACCCCCGGACUGCGUUCUCGCGCACCCCGUACCACAUGCUCCCAGGCAGUGGAGAAGAGGAGGUCGAGAACGAGCACGAGGUAGCGCCACCGCCCGCAUGGCUUGCCUUCAUCUUUCGAAGCCACCAUAGCGACGCCGCCUGCUUACCUGCAUCCUCGUCAUGAAGCAGGGGUGGUUGUGGGCCACGGUGUCCGACGAUGUAGAAAGGGGAUGCAAGGUGCAACAAAGCUCGCGGUGGCCGGCGAGCUAGAGCAUAGACAGCAUGGCUGGCUAAAGGGACUUGCGAGGGUGCUGCCGUGGUCGGCACAUGCGGUGCAUGCAAGGUGUUCCAUGAAAUGUCUUGGUAAGCCAAUGUAAGAAGGAAGAAGAUAGGAGAGAGAAAUACUGCCAUGGAUGAAGACCGAUCAAAACCAUGUUGAACUAGUUGUGAUACCGUGUCUGCCGAGACAAGGGACUAAACUUGUCCGGUUUCAAGAGUUGAGGAUGUAAGUUGUCUAGUUUUAAAAGUAUUUUUUUGCGUGAAUGAUCCAGAUCUUUUAUCAAAAUUCAGCGAAAGUACAGAGCGUCUCGAACAUAAUAAAAAUUAUAUUGAUAUUCCAAGACCCCCAAACAACCACUAUUGCCGUCAAAACAAGCAACCGACGCGCUGCUGUCGCCGCUCCCCUAUCGGAGUCGGAUGGACCAUGUCGAUGACAACCGGGAAAUCUUGGUGCAUGCACCCCUAAGGACCAGUGCCCUGGAGCCGCAGUCGUCGUCGAACCCUUGCAUAGAUAUGAAUCAUCUAACAUCAAAUCUUGCCACAAGACGAGAAAACCUAACCUCACUGCCCCAAAGAGAAGGGCCAGAGCUCCGUCGACUACUUCUAGACAGACAAACUCGAGGAGGAACCCGGAAGGCAAACUCGUAGUAGUGUCGCCAUCCACCCGAGCAUCGUAAAUGCGAGGACUAAAAAACCCUAACCUAAACUACUGACCUGAGCAGCGAAACCGAGAUUCCCUGAUAACGCACAAGUAUAGGGGAUCAAUUGUAGCCUCUUUUGAUAAGUAAGAGCGUUGAAUCCAACGAGGAGCUAAAGGCAGAACAAAUAUUCCCUCAAGUUCUAUCGACCACCGAUACAACUCUACGCACGCUUAACGUUCGCUUUACCUAGAACAAGUAUGAAACUAUAAGUACUUUGUAGGUGUUGUGGAAUAGGUUUGCAAAAAUAUAAAGAGCAUGUAAAUAAAAACUAGGGGCUGUUUUAAGUAAAGAAGCAAUAAAGUUAGUAUAGCGAGUGUGGAAAAGUGGUGGUAUGAGUUGCGAAAUUGUCCCUAAGCAAUUGACUACUUUACUAGACCGAUAGCAAGUUUUAUGUGGGAGAGGCCACUGCUAGCAUGUCAUCCCUGACUUGGAAUUCUAUGCACUUAUGGUUGGAACUAUUAGCAAGCAUCCGCAACUACUAACGUUCAUUAAGGUAAAACCCAACCAUAGCAUUAAGAUAUAUUGGUCCCCCUUCAAUCCCGUAUGCAUCAAUUUCUAUGCUAGGUUGAAGCUUCUGUCACUCUUGCCCACCAAUACAUAGUCCUAUCAACAUACAACUAACCCUAUGGUGUGAUCCACACGCGCGCUCAUAUGAUGGGCACCAAAGGACAACAACAUAACCACAAGCAAAUUAAAUCAAUCAUAGCAAUUCACCAAUUACUGGUAGGACAACGAAAAUCUACUCAGACAUCAUAGGAUGGCAACACAUCAUUGGAUAAUAAUAUGAAGCAUAAACACCAUGUUCAAGUAGAGGGUACAGCGGGUUGCGGGAGAGUGGACCGCUGUAGAUAGAUGGGGGAAGGUGAUGAAGAUGUUGGUGAAGAUGACGGAGGUGUUGGUGUAGAUUGCGGUGACGAUGAUGGCCUCGGCGGCGUUCCGGCGCCACCGGGAGAGAGGGGCAGUGAGCCCCGCUUCUUCUUCUUCUUCUUCCUUGACCAUCCCCCUAGAUGGGAGAAGGGUUUCCCCUCUGGUCCAUGGCCUCCGAGAUUGGAUCUGUAUCUCUGUCUCUCUCUGUUUCUGCGCUCCCUGAUUCUGCCCUUUCACAGUUUCUUAAAUUCUCGGAGAUCCGUAACUCCGAUUGGGUUGAAAUUUGGACACGAUUUUUAUCCGGAUAUUAGCUUUCUUGGGGCGAAAGAAGGGCACCAACCGCCUUACGGAGUGGCCAGAGGGCCCAGGGCACGCCCCUCACCCUCGUGGGCCCCUCGGGCAUCGUCUUGUGUUGAUUCCACUUCCCAAAAUUCACAUAUAUUCCAAAAAAUCUCCGUCAGUUUUUUUCCUGUUUGGACUCCGUUUGAUAUGGAUUUUCUGCGAAACAAAGAACAUGCAACAAACAGGAACUGGCACUGGGCACUGGAUCAAUAUGUUAGUCCCAAAAAUAGUAUAAAAAGUUGCCAAAAGUAUGUAAAAGUUGAAGAAUAUUGGCAUGGAACAAUAAAAAUUAUAAAUACGACGGAGACGUAUCAGCAUCCCCAAGCUUAAUUCCUGCUCGUCCUCGAGUAGGUAAAUGGUAAAAAAGAUAACUUUUGAUGUGGAAUGCUACCUAGCAUAAUCUUGAUCAUGUAAUCUAAUCAUUGCAUGAAUAUUAAGACACGACUGAUUCAAAGCAAUAGUUUAUCAUUUAACAUUAAGACAAUAAUACUUCAAGCAUACUAAUAAAGCAAUCAUGUCUUUUCAAAAUAACAUGGCCAAAGAAAGUUAUCCCUACAAAAUCAUAUGGUCUGGCUAUGCUCCAUCUUCACCACACAAAAUAUUCAAAUCAUGCACAACCCCGAUGACAAGCCAAGCAAUUGUUUCAUACUUUUGACAUUCUCAAACCUUUUCAACUUCCACGCAAUACAUGAGCGUGAGCCAUGGACAUAUCACUAUAGGUGGAAUAUAAUAUGAUGAUGGAGGUUGUGUGGAGAAGACAAAAAAGGAGAAAGUCUCACAUCGACGCGGCUAAUCAACGAGCUAUGGAGAUGCCCAUCAAUUGAUGUCAAUGUGAGGAGUAGGGAUUGCCAUGCAACGGAUGCACUAGAGCUAUAAGUGUAUGAAAGCUCAAACUGAAACUAAGUGGGUGUGCAUCCAAGUUGCUUGCUCAUGAAGACCUCGGGCAUUUGAGGAAGCCCAUCAUUGGAAUAUACAAGCCAAGUUCUAUAAUGAAAAUUCCCACUAGUAUAUGAAAGUGAUAACUCAAGAGACUCUCUAUAUGAAGAACAUGGUGCUACUUUGAAGCACAAGUGUGGUAAAAGGAUAGUAGCAUUGCCCCUUCUCUCUUUUUCUCUCAUUUUUUUGUUUUUUUGUUUUGGUGGGCUUCUUUGGCCUCUUUUUUUAUUUGGGCUUAUUUGGCCUUUUUUUAAGUCCGGAGUCUCAUCCCGACUUGUGGGGGAAUCAUAGUCUGCAUCAUCCUUUCCUCACUGGGGCAAUGCUCUAAUAAUGAUGAUCAUCACACCUUUAUUUACUUACAACUCAAUAUUACAACUCGAUAUCUAGAACAAAGUAUGACUCUAUAUGAAUGCCUCCGGCGGUGUACCGGGAUGUGCAAUGAUCUAGCGUAGCAAUGACAUCAAAAAACAGACAAGCCAUGAAAACAUCAUGCUAGCUAUCUUACGAUCAUGCAAAGUAAUAUGAAAAAAAUGCUCAAGUCAUGUAUAUGAUGAUGAUGGAAGUUGCAUGGCAAUAUAUCUCGGAAUGGCUAUGGGAAUGCCAUGAUAGGUAGGUAUGGUGGAUGUUUUGAGGAAGAUAUAAGGAGGCUUAUGUGUGACAGAGCGUAUCGUAUCACGGGGUUUGGAUGCACCGGCGAAGUUUGCACGAACUCUCGAGGUGAGAAAGGGAAAUGCACGAUACCGAAGAGGCUAGCAAUGAUGGAAGGGUGAGAGUGCGUAUAAUCCAUGGACUCAACAUUAGUCAUAAAGAACUCACAUACUUAUUGCAAAAAUUUAAUAGCCAUCGAAACAAAGUACUACGCGCAUGAUCCUAGGGGGAUAGAUUGGUAGGAAAAGACCAUCGCUCGUCCCCGACCGCCACUCAUAAGGAAGACAAUCAAUAAAUACCUCAUGCUCCAACUUCGUUACAUAACGGUUCACCAUACGUGCAUGCUACGGGAAUCACAAACUUCAACACAAGUAUCUCUACAAUCCACAACUACCCACUAGCAUGACUCUAAUAUCACCAUCUUUAUAUCGCAAAACUAUUGCAAGGAAUCAAACAUAUCAUAUUCAGUGAUCUACAAGUUUUAUGUAGGAUUUUAUGACUAAACAUGUGAAUGACCAGUUCCUGUCAACUCUCUAAAUAGAUAUAAGUGAAGCAAGAGAGUUUAAUUCUUUCUACAAAAGAUAUGCCCACGCUCUAACAAAUAUAAGUGAAGCAAAAGAGCAUUCUACAAAAGGCGGUUUUCUAUGUGUAGGGAAACAGGCAAUCCAUACUUCAAAUGAUAUAAGUGACGCACAUGUAGCAUUCUAUAAAGCCAUACUCAAAAGAUAUAAGUGAAGUGCAAUGAGCAUUCUAUAAAUCAACCAUGGACUAUCUCAUACCAGCAUGGUGCAUCAAAGAAAAGUGAAAACUAAAUGCAAAAGACCCUCCAAGAUUUGCACAUAUCGCAUGAACGAAACGAAUCCGAAAACAUACCGAUACUUGUUGAAGAAAGAUGGGAUGCCUUCCGGGGCAUCCCCAAGCUUAGACGCUUGAGUCUCCUUGAAUAUUUACUUGGGGUGCCUUGGGCAUCCCCAAGCUUGAGCUCUUGCCUCUCCUCCUUCUCCUCACAUCGAGACCUCCUCGAUCUUCGAACACUUCAUCCACACAAAACUCAACAGAAAGCUCGGUAAGAUCCGUUAGUAUAAUAAAGCAAAUAAAUACUCUAAGUACUGUUGCAAACCAAUUCAUAUUUUUUUUGCAUUGUAGCUACUGUAAUAUAACUUUUCCAUGGCCUAAUCCACUGAUAGAAAUCUAUAGUUUCAUCCAAACAAGCAAACUAUGCAUCAAAAACAGAAUCUGUCUUAAACAGGACAGUCUGUAGUAAUCUGAACAUUCACCAUACCUCUGGUACUCCAAAAAUUCUGAAACAAUUAGGAAAAAUAAACAAUUUGUAUAGAAAGACAGUGCAAAAUGUUUCAGAACCGUUUGACAUUCCAGUAAAAAAAUGUAAAAUCGCGCACUAUAGCCAAAGUUUCUGUUUUGCACCGCACAAACCAACAAGCAAUGUAAACAUCCUAAAGGCAAAUCUUGGCACAUUAUUUUUAUUUUUAAACUUUAUAAAAGCACACAACAGAAAUAAAUGACUCUCUAAAACUUCCGGGUUGUCUCCCUGGCAGUGCUUUCUUUAAAGCCAUUAAGCUAGGCAAAUAGUGCUCAAGUAAUGGAUCCACCCGGAUCCCAAGGUAUAUCAAAGCCAAUUUUAAUUAACAAUGAUUUGUGAUUUAGUAGUGAGCACAAAGUAACAUAUAUCAUGCAACAACGAAGUCUAACUCUCUUCCUAUGCAUUGGCAUGUCAUAAAAGAACAAUUCAUGCAUACAUAGUAAAGGCCAAUGCAUAGUAUAAACUGUUUCUUGCAAUUUUAUCAUAUUGGAAACAUGGAGAGGCGGAGAUGUAGUUCCUCUCUCAUAAUAAUUGCAAGUAGGAGAAUCAAGCACAUGCAUAUUAUAUCUAUCAAAAUCAUCAUGUGUAGUAGUGAAACGCAACCCAUCAAUAUAUUCCUUAAUAAGGGCAAACUUCUCCGAUAUAGUGUAGUCGGGAGAAUUCAAAAAGAUAAUAGGACUAUCAUGCGUGGGUGCAAUAGCAACAAUUUCAUGUUUAACAUAAGGAACUAUAGCAAGUUCAUCUCCAUAAACAUCAUUCAUAUUGGCAUCUUGGCCACAAGCAUAUCAAGCAUCAAGUUCAUCAAAAAGGGAUAUUUCAAACAAAUCAACGGGAUCAUAACAAUCAUCAUAGCAAUCAUCCUUCGGUAAGCACGAAGGGAAAUUAAACAAUGUAUGAGUUGAAGAGUUACUCUCAUUAGAAGGUGGGCACGGGUAGCUAAUCCGCUCUUCCUCCAUUUGUUCUUCGCUCUCCUCAUCAUUUUUUUCAUCCAAUGAGCUCACAGUUUCAUCAAUUUCAUCUUCCAUAGACUCCUGCAAAAUAUUAGUCUCUUCUUGGACAGCGGAGACUUUCUCAAAAAAUUCAUCAAUCAUAAUUGUAUUUAUAAUUCUCAUAGCAAUAUUUAAGGAUAGCUAAAUUUUCAGGUCUAUAAACUAAAUCAUCAAAAUCUUCAAACUCUUUAAACAAAGAUUCAAUUUCACAAGCACCCUUAAAAGCAACAAAUUCUUCUAUUUGUUCCACAUCAUAGUAAUCAUAUAUACCAUUAGCAUAAGAAGCUAAGGUUUCAUUAUCAUUAAAUUUGCAUGAAAAGGGAAGGUGUGGAGCCUUCAUCCUAGAGCUACAAGUAUAACCAUAUCUCAAGCAUAGUUGCCUAGCAUACCAAUACAACAUAUAAAUUUGAUCCCAUAAUAGUUUCCCUUUUUGAGUCGAGCGAUAAUCCCUAAAGUAUUCACGUUGAUCCAACGUGUCUCCCAUUAUAUAAUUGAAUGGGGUUUUCUCAGGAUUAUUAAAGUAGUGCAUAGUAUCUUUCACAUAAUGAGCAUCGAGGGUUUUAGGAGGUUCCCCAUCUCCAUGAGUAGCAAGUAAACCUAUUUUUUUUUUGGUAUUUCGUGUUCCAUAUCCAUAACUAAAACUAGAGAACAACUUAGAAGAACAAAUAAAAACUACUUAGCGAUAAAGCAAGCAAGCACACAUGAGAAUAUUCACCCCACGCUAUAACUCCCCGGCAACGGCGCCAGAAAAAGGCCUUGAUAACCCACAAGUAUAGGGGAUCAAUUGUAGCCUCUUUCGAUAAGUAAGAGUGUCGAACCCAACGAGGAGCUAAAGGUAGAACAAAUAUUCCCUCAAGUUCUGUCGACCACCGAUACAACUCUACGCACGCUUAACGUUCGCUUUACCUAGAACAAAUAUGAAACUAGAAGUACUUUUGGUGUUGUGGCAUAGGUUUGCAAGAAUAUAAAGAGCAUGUAAAUAAAAACUAGGGGCUGCUUUAAGUAAAGAAGCAAUAAAGUUAGUAUAGCGAUUGUGGAAAAGUGGUGGUAGGAGUUGCGAAAUUGUCCCUAAGCAAUUGACUACUUUACUAGACCGAUAGCAAGUUUUAUGUGGGAGAGGCCACUGCUAGCAUGUCAUCCCUGACUUGGAAUUCUAUGCACUUAUGGUUGGAACUAUUAGCAAGCAUCCGCAACUACUAACGUUCAUUAAGGUAAAACCCAACCAUAGCAUUAAGAUAUAUUGGUCCCCCUUCAAUCCCGUAUGCAUCAAUUUCUAUGCUAGGUUGAAGCUUCUGUCACUCUUGCCCACCAAUACAUAGUCCUAUUAACAUACAACUAACCCUAUGGUGUGAUCCACGCGCGCGCUCAUAUGAUGGGCACCAAAGGACAACAACAUAACCACAAGCAAAUUAAACCAAUCAUAGCAAUUCACCAAUUACCGGUAGGACAACGAAAAUCUACUCAGACAUCAUAGGAUGGCAACACAUCAUUGGAUAAUAAUAUGAAGCAUAAAGCACCAUGUUCAAGUAGAGGAUACAGCGGGUUGCGGGAGAGUGGACCGCUGUAGAUAGAUGGGGGAAGGUGAUGAAGAUGUUGGUGAAGAUGACGGAGGUGUUGGUGUAGAUUGCGGUGACGAUGAUGGCCCCGGCGGCGUUCCGGCGCUACCGGGAGAGAGGGGGAGAGAGCCCCCCUUCUUCUUCUUCCUUGACCUUACCCCUAGAUGGGAGAAGGGUUUCCCCUCUGGUCCAUGGCCUCCAUGGCCUCCGAGAUUGGAUCUGUCUCUCUGUCUCUCUCUGUUUCUGCGCUCCCUGAUUCUGCCCUUUCACCGUUUCUUAAAUUCCCAGAGAUCCGUAACUCCGAUUGGGUUGAAAUUUGGGCACGAUUUUUAUCCGGAUAUUAGCUUUCUUGCGGCGAAAGAAGGGCACCAACCGCCUUACGGAGUGGCCACAAGGGCCCAAGGCGCGCCCCUCACCCUCGUGGGCCUCUCGGGCAUCGUCUCGCGUUGAUUCCACUUCCCAGAAUUCACAUAUAUUCCAAAAAAAAUCUCCGUCAGUUUUUUCCCCGUUUGGACUCCGUUUGGUAUGGAUUUUCUGCGAAACAAAAAACAUGCAAAAAACAGGAACUCGCACUGGGCACUAGAUCAAUAUGUUAGUCCCAAAAAUAGUAUAAAAAGUUGCCAAAAGUAUGGUAAAGUUGAAGAAUAUUGGCAUGGAACAAUCAAAAAUUAUAGAUACGACGGAUACGUAUCACUCCCCUCCCCCGCCGGAGCGGUAGGCAGAGGGGAGGCAAAUCCACGGGCUCGUCAGGGAAGUUUGGAGAGAAGAGUUUGCCCUAGCCACUUAAGGUUUGAAAGGAAAACAAAUAUAUCUCCUUGUUGUUGAGCACUCUCUGCAAAUCGUCUGGUUUUAAAGUUGAGGGACUAAAUCUAGAGUUUUCCAAGAGUUGAGGGAUGUAAUGUAUACUUUUCUCCUUCUUUAAACGAUCAUAGCCCUGUGAAGGCACGCACACCCUUUAUCGCACACAAGCUACUUAAACUAAGUGUGUGUGUGUGUGUGUGUGUGUGUGUGUGUUAAUAGUCAGUGGAUUAUACCCAAUUCGUUUGGGCGAAACAUUUGCAAUUUAUCGCACACGGUUCACUUGGAAAAGGUGUUUGUAUGUGUGUGUGAUGAUUUCAUCUUCGCACACAUUUUGCUUUCUAUCACAUGGCACACAUUUCUUAUUUAUUGUGCGAGGAGGGGGGGGGGUAAUAGCACGGAUCUGUACUAGUGUUAGAGAUCAACGGUGUGAUUAGGUGAUGAGGCUAGUUUUAGAGGAGAGAGAGUGGAUGUCAAAUUAAUGACCAUCUUGAAGGAAAUAUUGCCCUAGAGGCAAUAACAAAGUUGUUAUUUUAUAUUUCCUUAUAUCAUGAUAAAUGUUUAUUAUUCAUUCUAGAAUUGUAUUAACCGGAAACUUGAUACAUGUGUGGAUACAUAGACAAAACACCAUGUCCCUAGUAAGCCUCUACUAGACUAGCUCGUUAAUCAAAGAUGGUUAAGUUUCCUAACCAUAGACAUGUGUUUACAUUUGAUGAACGGGAUCACAUCAUUAGGAGAAUGAUGUGAUGGACAAGACCCAUCCGUUAGCUUAGCAUAAUGAUCGUUAAGUUUUAUUGCUAUUGCUUUCUUCAUGUCAUAUACAUAUUCCUUUGACUAUGAGAUUAUGCAACUCUCGGAUACCGGAGGAAUACCUUGUGUGCUAUCAAACGUCACAGCGUAACUGGGUGAUCAUAAAGAUGCUCUACAGGUAUCUCCGAAGGUGUUUGUUGGGUUGGCAUAGAUCGAGAUUAGGAUUUGUCACUCCGAGUAUCGGAGAGGUAUCUUUGGGCCCUCUCGGUAAUACACAUCAUAAGGAGCCUUGCAAGCAAUGUGACUAAUGAGUUAGUUGCGGGAUGAUGUAUUACGGAAUGAGUAAAGAGACUUGCCGGUAACGAGAUUGAACAAGGUAUGAAGAUACCGACCAUCGAAUCUCGGGCAAGUAACAUACCGAUGACAAAGGGAAUAACGUAUGUUGUCAUUACGGUUCAACCGAUAAAGAUCUUCGUAGAAUAUGUAGGAACCAAUAUGAGCAUCCAGGUUCCGCUACUGGUUAUUGACUGGAGAAGUUUCUCGGUCAUGUCUACAUAGUGCUCGAACCCGUAGGGUCCGCACGCUUAACGUUCGAUGACAAUUUUGUAUUAUAUGAGUUAUGUGAUUUGGUGACCGAAUGUUGUCCGGAGUCCCGGAUGAGAUCACGGACAUGAAAAGGAGUCUCGAAAUGGUCGAGAGGUAAAGAUUGAUAUAUAGGACGAUGGUAUUCGGACACCAGAAGUGUUUCAGGAUGCAUUGGGUACUUAUCGGGUCACCGGAAGAAGUUCCAGGCACCCCCGGCAAAAGAUAUGGGCCUUAUGGGACAAGAGGGGAAACGCACCAGCCACAAAGGGGCUGGCACGUCCCCCCAUAUGGGCUGGCCAGAUUGGAGUAGAAAAGGGGAAGGAGGAAAGGAAAAAGGGAAUAGGAUUUCCCCUUCCCCCUCUUCCCUUCCUGCUUCGAAUAGGAAUAGGAAAGAGGGGAGGCCGAAUUGGGAGCCUCCUACUUGGGGCGCCCCCUUGGCUGCCUCUCCUCCCUUCCAACCUAUAUAUAUGUGGGGGAGGCACCACUAGAACACACAACAAACAUUGUUAGCCGUGUGCGGCGCCCCCCUCCAUAGUUUGCACCUCCGGUCAUAUUCACGUAGUGCUUAGGCGAAGCCCUGCGCGGAUCACUUCACCACCAGCGUCACCACGCCGUCGUGCUGACGGAACUCUCCGUCGACACUUUGUUGGAUCAAGAAUUCGAGGGACGUCAUCGAGCUAAACGUGUGCAGAACUCGGAGGUGUUGUACAUUCGGUGCUUGAUCGAUCGGAACGAGAAGAAGUUCGACUACAUCAACCGCGUUGUCAAACGCUUCCGCUUUCGGUCUACGAGGGUACGUGGACACACUCUCACCCUCUCAUUGUAAUGCAUCUCCUAGAUAGAUCUUGCGUGAGCGUAGGAAAUUUUUUCAAAUUGCAUGCUACGUUUCCCAACAGUGGCAUCCGAGCCAGGUCUAUGCGUAGUUGAUAUGCACGAGUAGAACACAAAGAGUUGUGGGCGGUGAUCAUCAUACUGCUUACCACCAAUGUAUUAUUUUGAUUCGGCGGUAUUGUUGGAUAAAGCGGCCCGGACCAACCUUACAUGACCACGUUCAUGAGACCGGUUCCACCGACAAACAUGCAACUAGUUUUGCAUAAAGGUGGCUGGUGGGUGUCUGUUUCUCCAACUUUAGUUGAAUCGAAUUUGACUGUGGCUAGUCCUUGUUGAAGGUUAAAACAGCAAACUUGAUAAAUCAUUGUUGUGGUUUUGAUGCGUAGGUAAGAACGGUUCUUACUAGAAGCCCGUAGCAGCCACAUAAAACUUGCAACAACAAAGUAGAGGACGUCUAACUUGUUUUUGCAGGGCAUGUUGUGAGGUGAUAUGGUCAAGGCAUGAUGUGAUAUACGUUAUUGUAUGAGAUGAUAAUGUUUUGUAAAUGUUAUCGGCAACUGGCAGGAGCCUUAUGGUUGUCGCUUUAUUGUAUGAAAUGCAAUCGCCAUGUAAUUGCUUUACUUUAUCACUAUGCAUUAGAGAUAGUUGUAGAAGCAAUAGUUGGCGAGACGACAACGACGCUGCGAUGGAGAUCAAGGUGUCAAGCCGGUGAUGAUGGAAAUCAUGACGGUGCUUUGGAGAUGGAGAUCAAAGGCACAAGAUGAUGAUGGCCAUGUCAUGUCACAUAUUUUGAUUGCAUGUGAUGUUUAUCUUUUAUGCAUCUUAUUUUGCUUAGUACGGAGGUAGCAUUAUAAGAUGAUCCCUCACUAAAAUUUGAAGGUAUAAGUGUUCUCCCUGAGUAUGCACCAUUGCGACAGUUCGUCGUGCUGAGACACCACGUGAUGAUCGGGUGUGAUAAGCUCUACGUUCACAUACAACGGGUGCAAGACAGUUUUGCACGUGCAAAAUACUCGGGUUAAACUUGACGAGCCUAGCAUGUACAGACAUGGCCUCGGAACACUGGAGACCGAAAGUCUAACGUGAAUCAUAUAGUAGAUAUGAUCAACAUAGAGAUGUUCACCAUUGAAAACUACUCCAUCUCACGUGAUGAUCGGACAUGGUUUAGUUGAUAUGGAUCACGUGAUCAUUUAGAUGACUCUAGGGAUGUCUAUCUAAGUGGGAGUUCUUAAGUAAUAUGAUUAAUUGAACUUAAUUUAUCAUGAACUUAGGGCCUGUUUGGUUCUAGACCUAGGAGUGCCACAUUUUGCCAUACAAUGUUGCCAAACUUGCCUAAGGUUAGUUCCUUAAAAUGAAAGCCACAAGUUGGCAAGCCUAAGGGAAUCUUACCACACUUUUUGUGUGUAUGUGAUGUGGGACCAUAGUGUGGCUUGCCUAAGAUGUGGCUUGAACCAAACACACACCUAAGUUGGUCAAACUUGCCUAACCUUAGGUGUGGCAAGCUUUGGCAAACUUAGUCUCAAACCAAACAGCCCCUUAGUCCUGAUAGUUUUUGCAUAUCUAUGUUGUAGAUCAAUGGCCCGUGCCACCGUUCCCUUGAAUUUUAAUGCGUUCCUAGAGAAAUCUAAGUUGAAAGAUGAUGGUAGCAACUACAUGGACUGGGUCCGUAACUUGAGGAUUAUCCUCAUUGAUGCACAGAAGAAUUAUGUCCUUGAUGCACCGCUAGGUGACAGACCUGUUGCAGGAGCAGAUGCAGACGUUAUGAACGUUUGGCAAACUCGGUAUGAUGUCUACUUGAUAGUUUAGUGUGCCAUGCUUUACGGCUUAGAACCGGGACUUCAAAAACGUUUUGAACGCCAUGGAGCAUAUAAGAUGUUCCAAGAGCUGAAAUUGGUAUUUCAGACUCAUGCCCGCGUCGAGAGGUAUGAGACCUCGGACAAGUACUUUGCCUACAAGAUGAAGGAGAAUAGCUCAACCAGUGAGCAUGUGCUCAGAAUGUCUGAGUACUACAAUCGCUUGAAUCAAGUGGGAGUUAAUCUUCCAUAUAAGAUAGUGAUUGACAGAGUUCUCUAGUCACUAUCACCAAGUUACUGGAACUUCGUGAUGAACUAUAAUAUGCAAGGGAUGACGAAAACGAUUCCCGAGCUCUUCGCGAUGCUAAAAUUGGCGAAGGUAGAAAUCGAGAAAGAGCAUCAAGUGUUGAUGGUUAACAAGACCACCAGUUUCAAGAAAAGGGGCAAAGGAAAUGAAAGGGAACUUCAAGAAAGAAUGGCAAUCAAGUUGCCACUCCCGUGAAGAAGCCCAAAGCUAGACCUAAGCCUGAAACUGAGUGCUUCUACUACGAAGGGAAUGGUUACUAGAAGCGGAACUACCCCAAAUACUUGGCGGAUAAGAAGGAUGGAAAAGUGAACAAAGGUAUAUUUGAUAUACAUGUUAUUGAUGUGUACUUUACUAGUGUUCAUAGUAACCCCAGGGUAUUUGAUACCGGUUCAGUUGCUAAGAUUAGUAACUCGAAACAGGAAUUGCAAAAUGAACAGAGACUAGUUAAGGGCGAGGUGACGAUGUGUGUUGGAAGUGAUUCCAAGGUUGAUAAGAUCACCAUCGCACACUCCCUCUACAUUAGAUAUUAGUGUUGGACCAAAAUAAAUGUUAUUUGGUGUUUGCGUUGAGCAUGAAUAUGAUUGGAUCAUGUUUAUUGCGAUACGGUUAUUCAUUUAAGUUAGAGAAUAACUGUUGUUCUGUUUACUUGAAUAAAACCUUCUAUGGUCAUACACCCAAUGUAAAUGGUUUAUUGAAUCUCGAUCGUAGUGAUACACAUAUUCAUAAUAUUGAUGCCAAAAAGAUGCAAAGUUGAUAAUGAUAGUGCAACAUAUUUGUGGCACUGCCGUUUACGUCAUAUGGGUAUAAAGCGCAUGAAGAAACUCCAUACGGAUGGAUUUUUGGAAUCACUUGAUUAUGAAUCAUUUGAUACUUGCGAACCAUGCCUCAUGGGCAAGAUGACUAAAACUCUGUUCUCCGGAACAAUGGAGCGAUCAACUGACUUACUGGAAAUAAUACAUACCGAUGUAUGCGGUCCGAUGAGUGUUGAGGCUCGCGGCGGGUAUCGUUAUUUUCUGACCUUCACGGAUGAUUUGAGCAGAUAUGGGUAUAUCUACUUGAUGAAACACAAGUCUAAAACAUUUGAAAAGUUUAAAAAAAUUCAGAGUGAAGUGGAGAAUCAUCGUAACAAGAAAAUAAAGUUUCUAAGAUCAGAUCGCGGAGGCGAAUAUUUGAGUUAUGAGUUUGGUCUUAAUUUAAAACAAUGUGGAAUAGUUUCACAACUCACGCCACCUGGAACACCACAUCGUAAUGGUGUGUCCAAACGUCGUAACCGUAUUUUAUUAGAUAUAGUGCGAUCUAUGAUGUCUCUUACCGAUUUACCACUAUUGUUUUGGGGUUAUGCAUUAGAUACAACUGCAUUCACGUUAAAUAGGGCGCCGUCUAAAUCUGUUGAGAUGACACCGUAUGAACUAUGGUUUGGCAAGAAACCUAAGCUGUCGUUUCUUAAAGUUUGGGGUUGUGAUGCUUAUUGAAAAAGCUUCAGCCUGAUAAGCUCGAACCCAAAUCGGAGAAGUGCGUCUUGAUAACCCACAAGUAUAGGGGAUCACAACAGUUUUCGAGGGUAGAGUAUUCAACCCAAAUUUAUUGAUUCGACACAAGGGGAGCCAAAGAAUAUUCUCAAGUAUUAUCAGUUGAGUUGUCAAUUCAACCACACCUGGAAAACUUAAUAUCUGCAGCAAACUAUAUAGUAGAAAAGUGGUAUGGAAGUAACGGUAACAGUGGCAAAAGUAACGGUAGCAGUUUUGUAGUAAUUGUAGCAGUGGUAACGGUAAAGUAUGUAAGCAAAGAUCAAUAUGUGAAAAGCUCGUAGGCAUUGGAUCAAUGAUGGAUAAUUAUGUCGGAUGCGAUUCCUCAUGCAACAGUUAUAACAUAGGGUGACACAAAACUAGCUCCAGUUCAUCAAUGUAAUGUAGGCAUGUAUUCCGAAUAUAGUCAUACGUGCUUAUGGAAAAGAACUUGCAUGACAUCUUUUGUCCUACCCUCCCGUGGCAGCGGGGUCCUAUUGGAAACUAAGGGAUAUUAGGGCCUCCUUUUAAUAGAGUACCGGACCAAAGCAUUAACACUUAGUGAAUACAUGAACUCCUCAAACUACGGUCAUCACCGGGAGUGGUCCCGAUUAUUGUCACUUCGGGGUUACCGGAUCAUAACACAUAGUAGGUGACUAUUGACUUGCAAGAUAGGAUCAAGAACUCACAUAUAUUCAUGAAAACAUAAUAGGUUUAGAUCUGAAAUCAUGGCACUCGGGCCCUAGUGACAAGCAUUAAGCAUAGCAAAGUCAUAGCAACAUCAAUCUCAGAACAUAAUGGAUACUAGGGAUCAAACCCUAACAAAACUAACUCGAUUACAUCAUAAAUCUCAUCCAACCCAUCACCGUCCAGCAAGCCUACGAUGGAAUUACUCACCCACGGCGGUGAGCAUCAUGAAAUUGGUGAUGGAGGAAGGUUGAUGAUGACGACGGCGACGGAUUCCCCUCUCCGGAGCCCCGAACGGACUGCAGAUCAGCCCUCCCGAGAGAGAUUAGGGCUUGGCGGCGGCUCCAUAUCGUAAAAUGCGAUGAAUCCUUCUCUAUGAUUUUUUCUCCCCGAACGGGAAUAUAUAGAGUUGGAGUUGAGGUCGGUGGAGCUCCAGGGGGCCCACGAGACAGGGGGCGCGCCCAGGGGGUAGGCGCGCCCCCACCCUCGUGGACCGGGUGUGGGCCCCCUGGUCUUGAUUCUUUCGCCAGUAUUUUUUAUAUAUUCCAAAAAUAUUCUUCGUGAAGUUUUAGGUCAUUCCGAGAACUUUUAUUUCUGCACAAAAAUAACACCAUGGCAAUUCUGCUAAAAACAACGUGAGUCCGGGUUAGUUCCUUUCAAAUCAUGCAAGUUAGAGUCCAAAACAAGGGCAAAAGUGUUUGGAAAAGUUGAUACGAUGGAGACGUAUCAACUCCCCCAAGCUUAAACCUUUGCUUGUCCUCAAGCAAUUCAGUUGACAAACUGAAAGUGAUAAAGAAAAACUUUUACAAACUUUGUUUGCUCUUGUUGUUGUAAAUAUGUAAAGCCAACAUCCAAGUUUUCAGCAAAGAUUAUGAACUAACCAUAUUCACAAUAACAAUUAGGUCUUAUGUUUAAUCAUAUCAAUGGCAUAAUCAACUAGCGAGCAAUAAUAAUAAAUCUCGGAUGACAACACUUUCUCAAAACAAUCAUAAUAUGAUAUAACAAGAUGGCAUCUCGCUGGCCCUUUCUGAGACCGCAAAACAUAAAUGCAGAGCACCUCUGAAGAUCAAGGACCGACUAGACAUUGUAAUUCAAGGUAAAAGAGAUCCAGUCAUACUCAAUGUAAACUAAUAGUAAUGCAUAUAAAUGACAGCAGUGCUCCCCAACUGGUGCUUUUUAAUAAGAGGAUGAUGACUCAACAUAAAACUAAAUAGAUAGGCCCUUCGUAGAGGGAAGCAGGGAUUUGUACAGGUGUCAGAGCUUGAUUUUGAAAUAGAGAUAAAUAAUAUUUUGAGUGGCAUACUUUCAUUGUCAACAUAACAACCGAGAGAUCUCGAUAUCUUCCAUGCUACACACAUUAUAGGCGGUUCCCAAGCAGAAUGGUAAAAUUUAUACUCCCCCACCACCAACAAGCAUCAAUCCAUGGCUUGCCCGAAACAACGGGUGCCUCCAACUAACAACAGUCCUGGGGGAGUUUUGUUUGCAAUUAUUUUUAUUUAAGCAUGGGACUGGGCAUCCCGGCGACCAGCCAUUUUCUCGUGAGUGAGGAGCGGAGUCCACUCCUCUUGAGAAUAACCCGCCUAGCAUGGAAGAUACAGAUAACCCUAGUUGAUACAUGAGCUAUUCGAGCAUACAAAACAGAAUUUCAUUUGAAGGUUUAGAGUUUGGCACAUACAAAUUCACUUGGAACGGCAGGUAGAUACCGCAUAUAGGAAGGUAUGGUAGACUCAUAUGGAAUAACUUUGGGGUUUAUGGAAGUGGAUGCACAAGCAGUAUUCCCGCUUAGUACAAGUGAAGGCUAGAAAAAGACUGGGAAGCGACCAACUAGAGAGCGACAAUAGUCAUGAACAUGCAUUAAAAUUAAUAAACAUUGAGUGCAAGCAUGAGUAGGAUAUAAUCCACCAUGAACAUAAAUAUCGUGGAGGCUAUGUUGAUUUUGUUUCAACUACAUGCAUGAACAUGUGCCAAGUCAAGCCACUCGAUUCGUUCAAAGGAGGAUACCACCCUAUCAUACCACAUUACAACCAUUUUAAUAGCAUGUUGGCACGCAAGGUAAACCAUUAUAAACUCCUAGCUAAUUAAGCAUGGCAUGAGCAACUAUAAUCUCUAAUUGUCAUUGCAAACAUGUUUCAUUCAUAAUAGGCUGAAUCAGGAACGAUGAACUAAUCAUAUUUACAAAAACAAGAGAGGUCGAGUUCAUCCAGCUUUUCUCAUCUCAAUAAGUCCAUCAUAUAUCGUCAUUAUUGCCUUUCACUUGCACGGCCGAACGGUGUGGAUAAUAAUAAUAGUGCACGUGCAAUUGGACUAAGAUGGAAUCUGCAAGCAUUUAAUACAAAGGAUAAGACAAGGUAACAUGGGCUCUUUGUUAAAUCAACAAUAAUGCAUAUAACAACCACUUCAACAUUUUCAUUAUGGUCUUCUCCUCUCGACCCCCAAAGAAAAGAAAAGAAAUAAAACUAUUUACACGGGAAAGCUCCCAACAAGCAAAAGAAGAACGAGAAAUCUUUUUGGGUUUUCUUUUAAUUAUUACUACUACAGGCAUGGAAAGUAAACUAGCUAAAAGCUACAACUAAUUUGUUUUGUUUUUCUUAAGGUUUUUCAAACACACAAGAAGAAAGCGAGAAUAAGGAAAAUAAACUAGCAUGGAUAUUACAAUGAAAAAGUAUGGGCACCGACAACUGGGAUGAGUGUGUGAACAUGAAUGUAAUGUCGGUGAGAAAUACGUACUCCCCCAAGCUUAGACUUUUGGCCUAAGUUGGUCUAUGCCCACGGAUCAAAGCUACUCUCUCCGGUGUACCGAGGAGGAUCCUCGGGGUGCCACUAGUUAGCGAGCUCCUCCGGAUCCCACUGAUAAAUAGAUUGCCGAUAAGGGUCAAGUGGUGGUUCCGGUUCAGCCUCUGGAGCAGGUGUCACGCUCAAGUAUGCAUGAAUGGCCUCCGGCAAAAUGAGGUACGUGCCUGAAAAUAUGUUGAAUAAAGAGGGCGCAGGCAAGGUAAUAAUCUCACAAUAAUUUUUAUCAAAUAUCAAUUUAUACUUAAGCAUCUUCUUCUUAUCUUUAACAAUGAAAUCAUGUGCUACCAUACUCUUAUAAUCUAGAUAAAUAGGAGGUAACAACUUUUCCUCUUUCUCAUAAUGCCUGAUAGGUAUGUUAAAGUGUGCAGCAAGGCACGAAGCAAAGAUGCCUCCAAAGAUGGGACCCUUUGUACGGUUCAGAUUUAACCGUUUAGCAACAAUAGCGCCUAAACUGAAGGUAGUAUCACGAAACAAGGCAUGGCGCAAAAUAACAAUAUCAGGGGCACUAAGGAUUCCACUGUUCCCACGACCAAUUAAGCAACUACUAGCAAAUAUUGCAAAGUAACGCAGAACAGGAAAAUGUAUGCUAGUGAUUCUUGCAUCGAAAACUUUCCUUGUUUCCCCUACAGCAAUCAUAUCAAUAAACCCUUCCACAUCAUUACGAUGUGGUUCCUCUAUGCUGCCCGCAAAGGGUAACUUGCAAACCGCACAAAAAUCAUAAAGUGACAUCUCCUUAAACUCAUCAUACAAAUAAAAAUCCACUGAAGGUGGUGAUCUCCUAGCAUGGAAAUGAAAAUUUUGCACGAAAAUAUUAGUGAGGAGGAGAUACUGUUCGCGCUGGUCGCGGAGGAAGUCGGCAAGGCCCGCAUUCUCAGUCAAAUAAUAAAAAUCAUCAUGAAUCCCGGCCGCUCUGAAUAAUUCAUCACAAGGCCAUUCACACGGACGAACUUCCGUGGUGCGAGGAAGAUUAUAUUUGGGCUUCUUAUUCUCUUCACUUUGCUUAUCCUUCGAGCUUCGGCUCGAAGAACCUCUCAACAAUCUCUUCAUCAUUUUCUGAAAAUUUCUGAAAUUUUUAGUAACUCAAAAUAAAAGUGAACCAAACUCAACAAGAUUGAUAGCAACUACUCCCACAAGCGCCUAGAGACUAUGUCAUGCAUUAGAACUACUUGGACCAAAUAAAUUUGACAUGCAAGCUCAAGAACAGGGUCACUUAAGCAGCAAAAAUUUGCAAUAAAUAAAGCACUAGAACAAAAACUAAUUGGACCAUUGGAGGAGUCACAUACCGAAGAACAAUCCCCCAAAGCAGUUUUGUGAGUAGAGCUUUGAGCAAGGAGAUCGAAAAUUGCAGCAAAACGAGCUAGAACACGAGUUUGAGCUGUGUGGUGAUUUUUUCUGGAGGAAGACGAAGUGUGUGGGUGCUGGAAUAAGUGGAGGGGGGCCACGAGGCCCACGAGGCAGGGGGCGCGCCCUGCACCCUCGUGGCCAGGUGGUUGCCCCCUCUGGUGUGUUCUCAGUGCCAGAUAUUCUUAAAUAUUCUACAAAAAAAUCAUAUUUCAAUUUCAGGGCAUUUGGAGAACUUUUAUUUUUGGGGUAUUUUUUUAUUGCAAGGAUAAUUCAAAAAACAGACAGAAAAUACUAUUUUUGCUUUAUUUAAUCUAAAUAACAGAAAGUAAAAGGAGGGUACAGAGAGUUGUGCUUUCUAACUUCAUCCAUAUCAUGCUCAUCAAAAGGAAUCCACUAACAAGGUUGAUCAAGUCUUGUUAACAAACUCAUUCCGAAUCGCAUGAAACCGGAGAAUUUUCGCAUAGCACUAGGUUACCUCAACGGGGAUAUGCACGUACCCAAUAAUAAGAAUAUCAUAUUUCUUCUUGACAGUAGGAAGAGGAAAUUCAAAACCUCCAAUAGUAAUCGUUGGAAUUUUUCCAAUAGAAUUUAUACUGUGGACUUGAGGUUGUUUCCUCGGAAAGUGUACCGUAUGCUCAUUACCAUUAACAUGAAAAGUGACAUUGCCUUUGUUGCAAUCAAUAACAGCCCCUGCAGUAUUCGAAAAUGGUCUACCAAGGAUAGUCGACAUACUAUCGUCCUCGGGAAUAUUAAGAAUAACAAAGUCCGUUAAAAUAGUAACGUUUGCAACCACAACAGGCACAUCCUCACAAAUACCGAUAGGUAUAGCAGUUGAUUUAUCGGCCAUUUGCAAAGAUAUUUCAGUAGGUGUCAACUUAUUCAAAUCAAGUCUACGAUAUAAAGAGAGAGGCAUAACACUAACACCGGCUCCAAGAUCACAUAAAGCAGUUUUAACAUAGUUUCUUUUAAUGGAGCAUGGUAUAGUUGGUACUCCUGGAUCUCCAAGUUUCUUAGGUAUUCCACCUUUAAAAGUAUAAUUAGCAAGCAUGGUGGAAAUUUCAGCUUCUGGUAUCUUUCUUUUAUUUGUAACAAUUUCUUUCAUAUACUUAGCAUAAGGAUUCAUUUUAAGCAUAUCAGUUAAACACAUACGCAAAAAGAUAGGUCUAAUCAUUUCAGCAAAGCGCUCAAAAUCCUCAUCAUCCUUUUUCUUGGAUGGUUUAGGAGGAAAAGGCAUGGGUUUCUGAACCCAUGGUUCUCUUUCUUUACCGUGCUUCCUAGCAACGAAGUCUCUCUUAUCAUAACGUUGAUUCUUUGAUUGUGGGUUAUCAAGAUCAACAGCAGGUUCAAUCUCUACCUCAUUGUCAUUGCUAGGUUGAGCAUCAACAUGAACAUCAUUAUUAACAUUAUCACUAGGUUCAUGUUCAUUACCAGAUUGUGUUUCAGCAUCAGAAAUAGAAAUAUCAUUGGGAUUCUAAGGCGUGUCAACAACAGGUUCACUAGAAGCAUGCAAAGUCCUAUCAUUUUUCUUUUUCUUCCUCUUAGAAGGUCUAGGUGCAUCAACAUUAGUUCUCUGAGAAUCUUGCUCAAUUCUCUUAGGGUGACCCUCAGGAUACAAAGGUUCCUGAGUCAUUUUACCCCCUCUAGUCAUAACUCUAACAACAUUAUCAUUUUUCUUAUUAUUUAAUUCAUUGAGCAGAUCAUUCUGAGCUUUAAGCACUUGUUCUACUGGAGUGGUAACCAUAGAAGCAUGUUUACUAAUGAGUUUAAGUUCACCUUUAACUCUAGACAUAUAAUCACUCAAGUGUUCAAUCAUAUAAACAUUACGUUUCAGUUGUCUACCAACAUAAGCAUUGAAGUUUUCUUGUUUAACCAUAAAGUCAUCAAACUCAUGCAAGCAUUGGCUAGCAAACUUAGUAGACGGGAUUUCAGCUUUAUCAUAUCUAUAGAGAGAAUUUACCUUUACUACCUGUGUCGGGUUAUCAAGACCAUGAAUUUCUUCAAUAGGUGGUAAAUUCUGAACAUCUUCAGCUUUAAUACCCUUCUCUUUCAUAGAUUUCUUUGCCUCUUGCAUAUCUUCAGGAUUGAGAAAUAGAAUACCCCUUUUCUUCGGAGUUGGUUUAGGAGUUGGUUCAGGAAGUGUCCAAUCAUUUUCAUUACUCAACAUAUUAUUCAAUAGCAAUUCAGCUUGAUCAACAGUUAUUUCCCUGAAAACACAACCAGCACAACUAUCCAGGUGGUCUUUGGAAGCAUCGGUUAGUCCAUUAUAAAAGAUAUCAAGCAUUUCAUUUUUCUUGAGAGGAUGAUCAGGCAAAGCAUUAAGUAAUUGGAGAAGCCUCCCCCAAGCUUGUGGGAGACUCUCUUCUUCAAUUUGCACAAAAUUAUAUAUUUCCCUUAAGGCAGCUUGUUCUUAUGAGCGGGGAAAUAUUUAGCAGAGAAGUAAUAAAUCAUAUCCUGGGGACUACGCACACACCAGGAUCAAGAGAAUUAAACCAUGUUUUAGCAUCACCCUUUAAUGAGAACGGAAAUAACUUAAGGAUAUAGUAGUAACAAAUUUUCUCCUCAUGAGUGAAUAGGGUGGCUAUAUCAUUUAAUUUAGUAAGAUGUGCCACAACAGUUUUAGAUUCAUAGCCAUAGAAAGGAUCAGAUUCAACCAAAGUAAUUAUCUCAGGAUCGAUAGAGAAAUCAUAAUCCUUAUCGGAAAUACAGAUAGGUGAAGUAGCAAAAGCAGGGUCAUAUUUCAUUCUAGCAUUCAAAGAUUUUUCUUUCAGCUUAGCUAAUAAUUUCUUAAGAUCAUAUCUAUCAUUGCAAGCAAGAAAAUCUCUAGCAGUUUCUUCAUCCAUAACAUAACCCUCAGGCACAACAGGAAAUUCAUAUCUAGGGGGAGAAUCUUCAUCAUCACUUUCAUCAGUAUUAUCAGUUUCAAUAAUUUCAUUCUCUCUAGCCAUAGCAAGUUGUUCAUCAAGAAAUUCACCUAGUGGCACAGUAUUAUCAAGCAUAGAAGUAGUUUCAUCAUAAGCAUCAUGCAUAGCAGAAGUGGCAUCAUCAAUAACAUGUGACAUAUCAGCAUUAAUAGCAGAAGCAGGUUUAGGUGUUGCAAGUUUACUCAAAACAGAAGGUCAAUCAAGUGCAGAGCUAGAUGGUAGUUCCUUACCUCCCCUCGUAGUUGAGGGAUAAAUCUUGGUUUUUUCGUCUUUCAAGUUCCUCAUAGUGAUCAGCAGAUAUAAAUCCCAAGUGACUCAAAGAAUAGAGCUAUGCUCCCCGGCAACGACGCCAGAAAAUAGUCUUGAUAACCCACAAGUAUAGGGGAUCGCAACAGUUUUCGAGGGUAGAGUAUUCAACCCAAAUUUAUUGAUUCGACACAAGGGGAGCCAAAGAAUAUUCUCAAGUAUUAGCAGUUGAGUUGUCAAUUCAAACACACCUGGAAAACUUAGUAUCUGCAGCAAAUUAUUUAGUAGCAAAGUGGUAUGGAAGUAACGGUAACAGUGGCAAAAGUAACAGUAGCAGUUUUGUAGUAAUUGUAGCAGUGGCAACGGUAAAGUAACUAAGCAAAGAUCAAUAUGUGAAAAGCUCAUAGGCAUUGGAUCAAUGACGGAUAAUUAUGUCGAAUGUGAUUCCUCAUGCAACAGUUAUAACAUAGGGUGACACAGAACUAGCUCCAGUUCAUCAAUGUAAUGUAGGCAUGUAUUCCGAAUAUAGUCAUACGUGCUUAUGGAAAAGAACUUGCAUGGCAUCUUUUGUCCUACCCUCCCGUGGCAGCGGGGUCCUAUUGGAAACUAAUGGAUAUUAAGGCCUCCUUUUAAUAGAGUACCGGACCAAAGCAUUAACACUUAGUGAAUACAUGAACUCCUCAAACUACGAUCAUCACCGGGAGUGGUCCCGAUUAUUGUCACUUCAGGGUUACCGGAUCAUAACACAUAGUAGGUGACUAUUGACAUGCAAGAUAGGAUCAAGAACUCACAUAUAUUCAUGAAAACAUAAUAGGUUCAGAUCUGAAAUCAUGGCACUCGGGCCCUAGUGACAAGCAUUAAGCAUAGCAAAGUCAUAGCAACAUCAAUCUCAGAACAUAAUGGAUACUAGGGAUCAAACCCUAACAAAACUAACUCGAUUACAUCAUAAAUCUCAUCCAACCCAUCACCGUCCAGCAAGCCUACGAUGGAAUUACUCACCCACGGCGGUGAGCAUCAUGAAAUUGGUGAUGGAGGAAGGUUGAUGAUGACGACGGCGACGGAUUCCCCUCUCCGGAGCCCCGAACGGACUGCAUAUCAGCCCUCCCGAGAGAGAUUAGGGCUUGGCGGCGGCUCCAUAUCGUAAAACGCGAUGAAUCCUUCUCUAUGAUUUUUUCUCCCCGAACGGGAAUAUAUAGAGUUGGAGUUGAGGUCGGUGGAGCUCCAGGGGGCCCACGAGACAGGGGGGCGUGCCCAGGGGGGUAGGCGCGCCCCCCACCCUCAUGGACAGGGUGUGGCCCCCCUGGUCUUGAUUCCUUCGCCAGUAUUUUUUUAUAUAUUCCAAAAUAUUCUCCGUGAAGUUUCAGGUCAUUCCGAGAACUUCUAUUUCUGCACAAAAAUAACACCAUGGCAAUUCUGCUGAAAACAACGUCAUUCCGGCUUAGUUCCAUUCAAAUCAUGCAAGUUAGAGUCCAAAACAAGGGCAAAAGUGUUUGGAAAAGUAGAUACGAUGGAGACGCAUCACGUCUUCAUAGGAUACCCAAAAGAAACUAUUGGGUACACCUUCUAUCACAGAUCCGAAGGCAAGAUCUUUGUUGCUAAGAAUGGAUCCUUUCUAGAGAAGGAGUUUCUCUCAAAAGAAGUGGGUGGGAGGAAAGUAUAACUUGAUGAGGUAAUUGUACCUUCUCUCGAAUUGGAAAGUGGCUCAUCAUAGAAAACUGUUCCCGUGAUGCCUACACCAACUAGAGAGGAAGCUAAUGAUGAUGAUCAUGAAACUUCAGAUCAAGUUACUAACGAACCUCGUAGGUUAACCAGAGCAUGUUCCGCACCAGUGUUAUGGUAAUCCUAUUCUGGAAAUCAUGUUACUAGACCAUGACGAACCUACGAACUAUGAGGAAGCAAUGAUGAGCCCAGAUUCCGAUAUGGCUUGAGGCCAUGAAAUCUGAGAUAGGAUCCAUGUAUGAGAAAAAAGUAUGGACUAUGAUUGACUUGCCCGAUGAUCGGUGAGCCAUCGAGAAUAAAUGGAUCUUCAAGAGGAAGACGAACGCUGAUAGUAGUGUUACUAUCUACAAAGCUUGAAUUGUCGCAAAAGGUUUUUGACAAGUUCAAGGUGUUGACUACGAUGAUAUUUUCUCACUCGUAUCGAUGCUUAAAGUCUGUCCGAAUCAUGUUAGCAAUUGUUGCAUUUUAUGAAAUCUGGCAAAUGGAUUUAAAAACUGCAUUCCUUAAUGGAUUUAUUAAAGAAGAGUUGUAUAUGAUGCAACCAGAAGGUUUUCUCAAUCCUAAAGGUGCUAACAAAGUGUGCAAGCUCCAGCGAUCCAUCUAUGGACUGGUGCAAGCAUCUCGGAGUUGGAAUACACGCUUUGAUGAGUUGAUCAAAGCAUAUAGUUUUAUACGGACUUGCGGUGAAGCCUAUAUUGGAGCACUACAACCUUUUUGAUAAGUACAUGUGAAUGACAUAUUGUUGAUCGAAAAUGACGUAGAAUUUUCUCGAAAGCAUAAUGGAGUGUUUGAAAGGAGUUUCUCAAAGAAAGACCUCGGUGAAGCUACUUACAUAUUGGGCAUCAAGAUCUAUAAAGAUAGAUCAGGACGCUUGAUAAGACUUUCGAUGAGUACAUACCUUGAUAAGAUUUUGAAGGAGUUCAAAAUGGAUCAGUCAAAGAAGGAGUUCUUGCCUGAGUUGUAAGGUAUGAAGUUGAGUAAGACUCAAAACCCAACCAUGACAAAAGAUAGAGAGAGAAUGAAAGUCAUUCCCUAUGCCUCAGCCAUAGGUUGUAUAAAGUAUGUCAUGCUGUAUACCAAACCUAUUACGUACCUUGCCAUGAGUUUGGCAAAGGGGUACAAUAGUGAUCCAGGAGUAGAUCACUGGACAACGGUCAAAAUUAUCCUUAGAGGACUAAGGAAAUAUUUCUUGGUUAUGGAGGUGAUAAAGAGUUCAUCGUAAAGAGUUACAUCGAUGAAAGCUUUAACACCGAUCUAGAUGACUCUGAGUCUCAAUCUGGAUACAUAUUGAAGGUUGGAGCAAUUAGCUAGAGUAGCUCCAUGCAGAGCAUUGUAGACAUAGAAAUUUACAAAAUACAUACGGAUCGGAAUGUGGUAGACCCGUUGACUAAACUUCUCUCACAAGCAAAACAUGAUCGCACCUUAGUACUCUUUGGGUGCUAAUCACAUGGCGAUGUGAACUAGAUUAUUGACUCUAGUAAACCCUUUGGGUGUUGGUCACAUGGCGAUGUGAACUAUGGGUGUUAAUCACAUAACGUGUGAUCUAUUGGUGUUAAAUCACAUGGCGAUGUGAACUAGAUUAUUGACUCUAGUGCAAGUGGGAGACUGAAGGAAGUAUGCCCUAGAGGCAAUAAUAAAGUUGUUAUUUUAUAUUUCGUUAUAUCAUGAUAAAUGUUUAUUAUUCAUGCUAUAAUUGUAUUAACCGGAAACUUGAUACAUGUGUGGAUACAUAGACAAAACACCAUAUCCCUAGUAAGCCUCUACUAGACUAGCUUGUUAAUCAAAGAUGGUUAAGUUUCCUAACCAUAGACAUGUGUUGUCAUUUGAUGAACGGGAUCACAUCAUUAGGAGAAUGAUGUGAUGGACAAGACCCAUCCGUUAGCUUAGCAUAAUGAUCAUUAAGUUUUAUUGCUAUUGCUUUCUUCAUGUCAUAUACAUAUUCCUUUGACUAUGAGAUUAUGCAACUCCCGGAUACCGGAGGAAUACCUUGUGUGCUAUCAAACGUAACAACAUAACUGGGUGAUUAUAAAGAUGCUCUACAGGUAUCUCCGAAGGUGUUUGUUGGGUUGGCCUAGAUCGAGAUUAGGAUUUGUCACUUCGAGUAUCGGAGAGGUAUCUCUGGGCCCUCUCGGUAAUACACAUCAUAAGAAGCCUUGCAAGCAAUGUGACUAAUGAGUUAGUUGCGGGAUGAUGUAUUACAAAACGAGUAAAGAUACUUGCCGGUAACGAGAUUGAAGUAGGUAUGAAGAUACCGACGAUCGAAUCUCGGGCAAGUAACAUACCGAUGACAAAGGGAAUAACGUAUGUUGUCAUUACGGUUUGACCGAUAAAGAUCUUCGUAGAAUAUGCAGGAACCAAUAUGAGCAUCCAGGUUCCUCUAUUGGUUAUUGACCGGAGAAGUGUCUCGGUCAUGUCUACAUAGUUCUCGAACCCGUAGGGUCCGCACGCUUAACGUUUGAUGACGAAUUUGUAUUAUAUGGGUUAUGUGAUUUGGUGACCGAAUGUUGUUCAGAGUCCCGGAUGAGAUCACGGACAUGACGAGGAGUCUUGAAAUAGUCAAGAGGUAAAUAUUUAUAUAUAUAGGACAAUGGUAUUGAGACACCAGGAUGCACCGGGUACUUAUCGGGUCACCGGAAGGGGUGCCGGGCACCCCCGGCAAAGAUAUGGGCCCUAUGGGCAAAGAGGGGAAAUGCACCAGCCACAGAGGAGCUGGUUCGUCCCCCUCAUAUGGGCUGGACAAAUUGGAGUAGAAAAGGGGAAGGAGGAAAAGAAAAGGGGAAUAGGAUUUCCCCUUCCCCCUCUCCCCUUCCUACUCCGAAUAGGAAUAGGAAAGAGGGGAGGCCGAAUUGGGAGGACCCCAAGUAGGAUUCCUCCUACUUGGGGUGCCCCCUUGGCUGCCUCUCCUCCCCUCCAACCUAUAUAUAUGUGGGGGAGGCACCGCUAGAACACACAACAAACAUUGUUAGCCGUGUGCGGCGCCCCCCCUCCACAGUUUACACCUCCGGUCAUAUUCACGUAGUGCUUAGGCAAAGCCCUGCGCGGAUCACUUCAUCAUCACCGUCACCACGCCGUCAUGCUGAUGGAACUCUCCCUCGACACUUUGCUGGAUCAAGAGUUCGAGGGACGUCAUCAAGCUGAACGUGUGUAGAACUCGGAGGUGCCGUACGUUCGGUGCUUGAUCGGUCGGAACGAACAAACGCUUCCGCUUUCGGUCUACGAGGGUACGUGGACACACUCUACCCCUCUCGUUGUUAUGCAUCUCCUAGAUAGAUCUUGCGUGAGCGUAGGAUUUUUUUUGAAAUUGCAUGCUACGUUUCCAAACACAUAUAGCCCCCUACUUUCUACUUUUAAAGGUAAGACAAAGAGACCCUUUAUAUCUUGAUGGUGGUCUAGCCAUUUUGUAGUAUGCUGAUGAUAUCACCUUCCUUAUGGAAAGAUGACCUAGAGAAGGUUCUGAAUUUGAAUUUGUACUCUAUGCGGGCUAUGCCAUAUAGUGGCAGUCCUCCAAAUCAGCUAUAACGAGACUAUAGCCGGCUAUUUUCAAAAAAAAAUUGGACAGUUAUAGAUGAAUCCUAUAGCCACCGGCUAUUUAAAACUUUGCUACGUGUGUUUGGGCAAUUGUCUGGGUUGAAAAUCAGUUUUCACAAGAGUGAGAUUUAUUUCCUGGGGGAUGCCAAUUCGAGAGUGGAAGAGUAAAGAAAAUUUUGACCUAUGAGGCUGGGCUUCUUCCUUUGAAAUAUCUGUGGCUCCCUAUGCAUGCUAAAAGACUGAGAAAUUCACAAUGGGUUACAUUCGGGGAUUUUUUUUUGAGAAAAUGAUGGUUGGAUGGAUUAAUCUUUUAUCCAUUGGAGGACCAGAUCACUCUAGUUAAUUCCUGUCUGACUAGUAUUCCUUUUGUUUAUGCUAUCCAUCCUGGAAGCACCAAAAUGUGUGUUUUAGAAGAUGAAUUCUAGCAGAGACAGAAUGGACUGGCAGGAGACUCAAGACAAGAAAAAGAAAACAGUUAGUGAAUUUGCAUGUUCUUUCCAUGCCUAAGAGUUGUAAUUGCUUAGGGAUCAUGAAUCUGGAGGUUAUGAACAAAUGCCUGUUGAUGAAAUGGCUUUGGAAGUUGAAAAACUCCAAUUGUAUUUGGCAGGAGAUGAUUACUAAGAAGCACUUGCAUGGUCUGACUCUGACUGGGUUGCUGAUGGAGGUAGCGGCUUCAUUUUUGACAAGGUUUGAUGAAACCUUCAUUAGCCUUAGCAGCAGAUUGAUUGGUGAUGGAGCCAAACACUACUCUCGGAAGAUGGUUAGGAGAUAAACUCCUCGCAGAACAAUUUUCCGGAAUAUAUAAUGUUUAUUUUAGAGAUAAAUACACCGGGAGUCUUCAAACUCGCACGCGACAGUCAGUUUGGUGUACAAACUUGUAAAAUACGUGAUUCUGAUAAUCGAACUUGCGCGGGUGUGCAGAUACGGGCACAUAUCCCGUACAUGGGCAUAUCCUAUGCUUGGCUGCCUGCUGUCAGCAACAGAUGGCGCUCAGCGCGGCUUGUUUUGCACAAAACGCCAUAGCCUUUUUUAUUUGAGAAAAAUUAACAACUGGUGGGUCCCACUUAACAGUAUAUAGCGAAAUUUAAACACGAAAAAGUGUGUCGCCUAGUCUAGAACACAAGCCUAAGGCGAGGACACAAUCCGGCCAAGCCACUCCAACCAAAUCCUGUAGAUGUUUACGUAGGAUAACUUUGCUUUACUGUACUAUAACGAAGGUGCUCGUGUAGCAGAAAUGGGUUUCAUUUUGUGCGGCCUAUUUUGCAUCUGCUCUCCUUUUUUUACAGAUUAAUAGAUAUGUAGUAUGUAAAUUAUAAUUUCAAUAAUAAAAUGACUUUCAAAUAUUGUUCAUGUAUUAUUUUAAAAUAAUAUUUACGAAUUGUAAAAGAUGUUUGCAUAACUAUAAUGCAAAUAUUUUUUAAAAUAUUCAUAAAUGUAAAAAAAUAGUUUUGAUUUUUUAGAAUAAUUUAAAAAUAAAGAUAAUAAUUUUAAAAAUAGUAAUAAUAAAAUAAUUAUGUAUAGUUGCACCUGUUCGUUUUUUGGAAUUUUUGGAGCAGAAAACUUUGUUCAUGNNNNNNNNNNNNNNNNNNNNNNNNNNNNNNNNNNNNNNNNNNNNNNNNNNNNNNNNNNNNNNNNNNNNNNNNNNNNNNNNNNNNNNNNNNNNNNNNNNNNNNNNNNNNNNNNNNNNNNNNNNNNNNNNNNNNNNNNNNNNNNNNNNNNNNNNNNNNNNNNNNNNNNNNNNNNNNNNNNNNNNNNNNNNNNNNNNNNNNNNNNNNNNNNNNNNNNNNNNNNNNNNNNNNNNNNNNNNNNNNNNNNNNNNNNNNNNNNNNNNNNNNNNNNNNNNNNNNNNNNNNNNNNNNNNNNNNNNNNNNNNNNNNNNNNNNNNNNNNNNNNNNNNNNNNNNNNNNNNNNNNNNNNNNNNNNNNNNNNNNNNNNNNNNNNNNNNNNNNUGCACACAUUUUUAUAAUCCAAUGUUUGUAUAAGUAAAAUAUUCAUAAUUAAAAUCUAAAGUCUUGGUAUGAAUAUUUAAUCGUGUCUAAUAUGUAAAUUAUAUAUUCUUUUUAAAUAUAAAUCAUGAUUAAAAAUUAUACACAAGUGAAUAUUCAUAAAUAUUUAAUAAAUGUUGUAUUCAUCAUUUUGUAUAAUUUAAAUAUAAGUAUCAUUUUGUAUAAUUUAAAUAUAAGCCACGAGUGUAUAAUUCUUUUUGUAUUCAUUAAAUUUUUUUAUUUAAUAACGUUUUAAAUAUCUGUAUUAAAUAAAUAUAUUUUAUGUAAUACACAAGUGUAUAUUUCAUAAACUGUUGAUUCUACAUGUUACUUGUAUUAAGUCACGUCAUGUGCACGACACAUAUUUAGUUGAUAAUCCCGGACGUUUUCAGUAUAAGUGAAAUUGCAUCUCAUUUUAGACACGUAAAUGUUCCUGUGGCAGUGGUUGGGUAUUUCUUGUGCGUACCUAAGCUAGCUAGAUCGAAGACCCACCACCCGCUUCUGUAUUUCGCUCCUCACUGGAACAUAUUUUUGGUACCAAUGAUGAUUUUUUUCUGCAAAUAAACAAAGGCGAGGCUGUUUUACGCAAGAACAUGUUGCAUCAAGUGCCAUCUUGUCACUGACAGUGGGCCUUGCACACUCUGGCGUGCCAAACAAGCAUCGGAUAUGUCCGCAUACGGGAUAUGUGAUCGUAUUUGCACGCUCGCGCAAGUUCGAUAACCAGAAUCACGUAUUUUACAAGUUUGUGCACUAAACUGAUCGUCGCGUGCAAGUUUUAAGACUCCCAGUGUAUUUACCUCUUUAUUUUACCAAGAUUGACAGUUUUAUGGCCCAAGGUGCCUCAUCGUACCGGAAGCCGACCCAUGUCCCCUAGGUCGGUUUAAGCCCUCGGCCAACGACGUACCAACCUAUGCGCCUAUUAUAGAGGAGGACCCAAAAGACUUAGAGUACAUGACAAUGACAAGUCAACCGACGUUUAGGAGAACUCCUCCCUAACUCUAACCGAUUAGGAUCCUAUAACCCUAGACCCCGGUACCCAUAUUAAUCAGGGAUUAGCCUAUGCGAUAGGAACAGAGCCUGUUGUUAUGGGCAAGAAAUGCCCAUUGGACCUCCCUGACGAAUGCAGUCACGUACCUGUGUACGUAUUACCUCAAUAUUCUACACGCGGAUACGUUGGUAAACAACAAAGUGUUGGCCCUCGACGAAGUAGCGAGCGGCCGAGGCCCGAGGGCGCUCCGACCACGUCCCGGUCGGCGCUGAUACAUUCCAUGCGCUUGUUCACAGUGUCAGGCUGUCAGCUCGCUCGCUCGCCAUCCUCGGGGUCGCGGGCACGUCGCUUCUCGGUCUCUAUCCAGUUUGUACGUAUCCACGCGCUGCCAGCGGCUUGCAACCGCGCGCGGGCUGAAAAUCCAAGCCUCUGAAUUUCUUGUCUGCACUAGCAGCCGAUGCAAAGUUCUUCACCACUCACUACCAUGAACUUCCUGGCCUAUGAAGUACUAGUAUAAUUUGGACUGAACCAUAGGGAGUAGUACGUUUUAGCUCAAGGUCGCCAGAAGCCAAUGGCAGGUUGCCACCGCAAAACUCCACUUGUUUGGGAGUUUAUUACGUAGUACUCCGGCAGCUAGUUAGCUAGCACGGAACAAAAAGCAUAUCCAAUUGUUGCACGGACCGCUACUGCGGCGAAGGACUCGAAGAUACUGCCGCAGGUGGCCAAUUGUUGCACCUCAUUUGCUUAUAAUAGUCGCGUCAUUCUUCGCGCCGUCUUGGGCGCGCGCACGGGUGUAUAGCAAUAAAAAAAAUAGCGCGCUACAGCAAAAUAGCUUCGACCUCAAAAUAUAUUAUUAGCGUGCUAUUAGCAAGACGUUGUAUACCGAUAUAUUUAGCGAGACAAUUCUCAAUACGCUAUAGUGUGCUAUUAGCAACGCUAUAAUGCGCUAUUUUUUUAGUGAUAUAUAGGCGUGCUAAUGCCACGUUCUAAUGACCGCUCAUACCAGAGACCGACCACCACCGAGAGGAAGCGGGGAGGCCGUAAGUGCGGCAGAGCGCGAGGUAAGCGGAGCUCCAUCGGAACCAAUGGCCGGCCAUGGCGGGCCGUUCGCGCUCGUCGCGCUGUGCGUGCUCGAGCUUGCGCUGCGAGGCGCCUGCGCCGGCGACGCGCCCGCGCCCGCACCCGCCCCCGCCCCUGGCCCGGAGCGGCUCGUGCCGGCCAUCUUCGUGUUCGGGGACUCGACGGUGGACGUCGGCAACAACAACAAGCUGCCGGACUGCACGCCCGCCUGCAGGGCCAACUACCCCAAGUACGGCGUCGACUACCCCUCCCACGAGCCCACCGGCCGCUUCAGCAAUGGCUACAACCUUGCUGACCAGCUAGGUGCCGUCAAAACUUCCUUCUCCCUUCAGUUUUACUAGUACUAUAUCUUACCUAGGAGUAUUUGUUAGAGGAGUUCAAUGCACAAGGAAAUUGAAUAUGGGCUUACUGAUGAACACGUGAAAAAUCUAUGUUGUCGCGCCAGUAACGAUCCAACGAAACUGUGAAAGGCUGCUGUCCUUGAGUCACGGGGUGACGAUCUUGGCACUAGGCGCCAAACACCUUUAGUUAACGUUUUCUUUUCUGCCUUUCAGUCGCCUGAAGCAGACUAUAGACAGAGCAGUGAAACCUCGUACGUACGAUUUGACGUUGUCGGGAGUGAACAAAGAAACCAGUCCAGACAUCCAAGGCAAAGCAUAGCAACUGGGUUAAGUUGGUUUUGUGUUCAUUUGUUGAAGUAUUCCCCUUAUACGGAAAAAACGCCAAUUAGGGAGUACACCUUACAAAGAUUACUAGAUGAUACCCUCACAAUGUUCUCUUCUUUUUCGGGGGUAAAGGAGAAUUUUUUUGCCGGAUUGUUUAGCAAUAUAUUAAGUGAGAAUUGGUUGUAUAGAACAUGAAUAUGUAGAGUAAUAAUAUGACAAAAACUGAAAUAAAUAUGAUUUGUGGUGUUUGGCAAUUGUAUAACUAGGCAAUUUCCCCACGCGUUGCCGCGGGAAUAUAAAGAUUAAUUACAGAUGGCUUAUAUAUGAACAAAAAAAAAUACAUCAAAAGCUACUAAUUUUAACAUGUAAAUAUUCCGUACUUGCAUUCUGUGUAAAUCAGGGCAUUUCACAACCUUUAGGAAGUAAAUAAGUUAAAUAAUUAUCUAGUCUACUACAUAUGUCCAAUGACAAAAAUAAACAUAUUAGUAUGCUUUGCAUGGGCUGAAAAAAUUGUUAGUGUAUGGUGAAGUGGGAUGAUUGCAUGUUGAGAGAAUUGGUGAUAAUGGAAUAAGGUUUGCAUGGGCUGAAAAAUAUUGUUAGUGGAUGCUGAUGUGGCACACCUGAUGAGGUGAAUCGCUUGCAUGUUGAGAGAAUUAGAAGUAGUGGAGAUCAACUAUUUAGGUAUUAUAGAUAUAAUAUCAUAACAGAAUGUAAAUUCUCAUGCAUGUUUCCAUGUGGAGGUGGUUUUUUAUUAUGCAUGGUUGCUUGUUGUGCUGAAGCUUUCUCCAUGCAUGUUGAAUCAUGAGGUGGCAUACUUGCAUGUUGAGAGAAAUAAAUUAGUGGGGUCUAGCUAUUUAGAUACUCCAAAGUACUCUGGUGGCGUCACGUGGCGCAAUGUAUGUGUUGAACUAGCCAUGCCGAUGGUCCCACCAGUAAAUCGACCACUCAGUGGAUUAGGUUUCCAAACUAUAACCUCGACUGGUUUCAUGGCGUGACUCACCAUGUCAUCCUCAACACAAGCAAAAAUCACCAACAACACUAGGUCUUGCAUUUGAGCUCACUUUGCUCACACACUUUCCACUAUCCUUGAACCCUCGAAGCUCUUGCAGCGGCAACAAUGAUCCCAUUAUUGCUGGAGGCAAGGGCAACUCUUAGCCCUGGUUUUCCUUCCUACCACCUCAAACCCUAGUUAUAGGCCUUGCGCUUGCGACUGAGGACCGGAAGCAAAUCAUUAGAGCAUCUACAGCCGGACUUGGCAAAUCUGAGUCCUUAAACGCCCGCGGAUGCGCCCGGGCACGGCCGCGGACAGUGACCAGUUAUAUGUCAAAUAACUGAUUCCACAAUCAGAUAUCUCAAAUAAAAACCUCAAAUCCAUACAAUUACAUGCAACGUAAACCUAAUCUUAAGCGGAACCCAUCUGGCCCCGCCGUGCCCAUGUCCGGCGGCUGGCUGCGCCCCUCAAAGUGUUGGUAUGGACACCGGCGAAGUAGAUUAGGACAUGGGACACGGGCCGGCUCACGGGACUCAAGGUGCCGCCGUCUGCCAUGCCCUAUUCCUACCAGGAGAGGCGGAGCGCAAGCCAGCCGGUCAUCUCCUCCUCGGGGCUGCGUGUGAUGAGUUCGGGGUCGACGGAUCUGGAGGUGUAGGAAUCGGAUCCGCUACCCGCCAUGCCGGAGAAGGCCGUAAAUCGCCGGACGGGAGCUUGGGUGGCAGAGGGAAGUGGAGUGAAGUGGCUAGGGUUUGAUCCGGGGAGCGGAUGGGGAGGAAUAUGUUGGGUCGGGUGGGCCAGCGUGGGCUGGGUCCGACGUGGCGGACGCGCUCGGGCCUCCCCAUAUCUGCCUCAUAUUUGGGUUGGAUAUGAGGGGUGCCGGUCAGCCCUGGCGUUCGAGGCGGGUUUGAGGCGUCUGUUUGUGUCGCUUUUUUUUGACCAGUCACUGACCGGGCCGUCCGCCCAGGCGUUUGAGGCGCUCGGCUGUAGAUGCUCUUACAUGAUAUAAUCAUAGUGUACAUAAUGUUGAACUUUAUUCAUUCUCCAAGGGCCAUUCUUUUUUGGAAAACAGGAAGGGCCACAAAGGACCCAGCUGGCAUUAACAUAACAAGAUUAUUACGACACAGUCUUUAAAAUGACAUGGAAGAAAUAGAAAAAUUUAGACAAGUCCUUCUAAUCAACACAAAAGACCUCCAAGUAAACUCCUAAAAGGCAAUCAGGUUCCUAAGCUCUACGAGCAAUCUCCUUCUAUUUACUAUGGUGCACAAAUCAAAUGAUAGUUAAAAAAAACAAGGAGAUAUUGCAACAACUUCAGCCAAUUUGGCAACCCAAAAAAGAAAAAAAAAAC
This 35943-nucleotide long non-coding RNA is filed under the name Triticum aestivum (bread wheat). RNAcentral's name for it is "long non-coding RNA (TAES_LNC024522)". The record is from RNAcentral. Lineage: Eukaryota; Viridiplantae; Streptophyta; Magnoliopsida; Poales; Poaceae.